GUGCCAGCAGCCGCGGUAAUACGGAGGGGGUUAGCGUUGUUCGGAAUUACUGGGCGUAAAGCGCACGUAGGCGGACUAGUCAGUCAGAGGUGAAAUCCCAGGGCUCAACCCUGGAACUGCCUUUGAUACUGCUAGUCUUGAGUUCGAGAGAGGUAAGUGGAAUUCCGAGUGUAGAGGUGAAAUUCGUAGAUAUUCGGAGGAACACCAGUGGCGAAGGCGGCUUACUGGCUCGAUACUGACGCUGAGGUGCGAAAGUGUGGGGAGCAAACAGGAUUAGAUACCCUGGUAGUCCACACCGUAAACGAUGAAUGCCAGACGUCGGGUAGCAUGCUAUUCGGUGUCACACCUAACGGAUUAAGCAUUCCGCCUGGGGAGUACGGUCGCAAGAUUAAAACUCAAAGGAAUUGACGG
Molecule: ribosomal RNA, 411 nt
Filed under: Paracoccaceae bacterium
Lineage: Bacteria; Pseudomonadati; Pseudomonadota; Alphaproteobacteria; Rhodobacterales; Paracoccaceae
Description: bacterial SSU rRNA
Rfam family: Bacterial small subunit ribosomal RNA
Source: RNAcentral